UAGAGUUUGAUCCUGGCUCAGAUUGAACGCUGGCGGCAUGCUUUACACAUGCAAGUCGAACGGCAGCACGGGGGCAACCCUGGUGGCGAGUGGCGAACGGGUGAGUAAUGCAUCGGAACGUGCCCAGUUGUGGGGGAUAACCAGUCGAAAGAUUGGCUAAUACCGCAUACGACCUGAGGGUGAAAGCGGGGGACCGAAAGGCCUCGCGCGAUUGGAGCGGCCGAUGUCUGAUUAGCUAGUUGGUGAGGUAAGAGCUCACCAAGGCGACGAUCAGUAGCUGGUCUGAGAGGACGACCAGCCACACUGGGACUGAGACACGGCCCAGACUCCUACGGGAGGCAGCAGUGGGGAAUUUUGGACAAUGGGCGCAAGCCUGAUCCAGCCAUGCCGCGUGCGGGAAGAAGGCCUUCGGGUUGUAAACCGCUUUUGUCAGGAACGAAACGGCGCUUGUUAAUACCGAGCGCUAAUGACGGUACCUGAAGAAUAAGCACCGGCUAACUACGUGCCAGCAGCCGCGGUAAUA
RNAcentral lists this ribosomal RNA (523 nucleotides) under uncultured bacterium. RNAcentral describes it as "bacterial SSU rRNA". It matches the Rfam family "Bacterial small subunit ribosomal RNA", at positions 1 to 525 of the family's 1533-position model. The record is from RNAcentral.